UACAGAGGGUGCGAGCGUUAAUCGGAAUUAUUGGGCGUAAAGGGUGCGUAGGUGGUUUAAUAAGUUUGGCGUGAAAUUCCAGGGCUUAACCUUGGGGCUGCGUUGAGUACUGUUGAGCUAGAGUAUGGGAGAGGCAAGUGGAAUUUCCGGUGUAGCGGUGAAAUGCGUAGAUAUCGGAAGGAACAUCGGUGGCGAAGGCGGCUUGCUGGAUUGAUACUGACACUGAGGCACGAAAGCGUGGGGAGCAAACAGGAUUAGAAACCCCUGUAGU
RNAcentral lists this ribosomal RNA (271 nucleotides) under uncultured bacterium. RNAcentral describes it as "partial 16S ribosomal RNA". It matches the Rfam family "Bacterial small subunit ribosomal RNA", at positions 524 to 794 of the family's 1533-position model. The record is from RNAcentral.